Molecule: long non-coding RNA, 806 nt
Organism: Pseudophryne corroboree (corroboree frog)
Lineage: Eukaryota; Metazoa; Chordata; Amphibia; Anura; Myobatrachidae
Exons: 3
Source: RefSeq, a predicted model, not a curated record
UUUAGGAGGAUGGGCAGAGUGGAACAGGACCUAGGAGCAGAAGGUGCUGAGCUGAUUUGGUGGUGUACAUGGUGACCAAAGGAGACUCCUUAUCUGAUCUUCAAUAAAUCAGAGUCCAGCAGCUGACAGAGUGUCUAUGGAGUGCCAACGCUACACUUCACGGAGUCCUGGUUGCUAUGGUGAUGGGUGUCAGUUACACGGCGCCGUCAGUGGGCGAUGAUGUCACAGCCUGCACGGUUCGGCGGGUGAGUGGUCCCGGACGAGCUGGCGGGAAUGCACACAGGGUGAUGAUAUAAAGGAUUCCUCAGAAGAAUUCUUUAGCACAAGGCCUGCUGCAGAUGCUGCUGUGACUCUUCAUUGCAGAAGGGGACCAAGAAGAAUAGUAGUAGUUUCAAACAACAAUUGACUGUAAAACAGCCCUCUGCAAGAGGAAGCAAGUAUAAAGCCUGCCAUCCAGUUGCACAACAGAUCACUGAAUCCAUGUCAGCUAUGCUAGUAUUAGAUCUGUAGCCAAUAUCUGCUAUUAAAGCGUCUGGUUUUAAACAGUUAAUUGAGGUCCUCUAUACCCACUACCAAAUUCCAUCUCAAGUCCAUUUUACCCGAAAAACAAUUCCUCGUCUGUACCAGGAUGUAAAGAAAAAAAUUAUAGGUCCUACAAAAUGCCAUUAUACCCACUGUCCACGUAACAACGGAUAUGUGGACAAGUGGUACUGGUCAAACUAAAGAUUGCAUGACUGCGACCACCUCCUGGGUGGGUGUAUCACCUUCAGCAGCAUCAGUAUGUAACACAAAACGCUAGCUCAUUC